This 464-nucleotide ribosomal RNA is filed under the name uncultured bacterium. RNAcentral describes it as "bacterial SSU rRNA". It matches the Rfam family "Bacterial small subunit ribosomal RNA", at positions 120 to 615 of the family's 1533-position model. The record is from RNAcentral.
AGAAUUUGCCUUUAGGAGGGGGAUAACAACUGGAAACGGUUGCUAAUACCCCAUAUGCUUUCGAGUGAAAUGGUUUUUCCGCCUAAAGAGAAGCUUGCGGCUGAUUAGCUUGUUGGUGAGGUAAUAGCUCACCAAGGCGACGAUCAGUAUCUGGUUUGAGAGGACGAUCAGACACACUGGAACUGAGACACGGUCCAGACUCCUACGGGAGGCAGCAGUAGGGAAUUUUCCGCAAUGGGCGAAAGCCUGACGGAGCAAUACCGCGUGAGGGAUGACGGCCUAUGGGUUGUAAACCUCUUUUUUCAGGGAGGAAUCAAUGACGUGUACCUGAAGAAUAAGCAUCGGCUAACUCCGUGCCAGCAGCCGCGGUAAGACGGAGGAUGCAAGUGUUAUCCGGAAUCACUGGGCGUAAAGCGUCUGUAGGUGGUCAAAUAAGUCAACUGUUAAAUCUUGAGGCUCAACCU